RNAcentral lists this non-coding RNA (29 nucleotides) under Homo sapiens (human). The record is from RNAcentral. Lineage: Eukaryota; Metazoa; Chordata; Mammalia; Primates; Hominidae.
UGCUGGCUGUGCAGGCAAACUGGUGGAGA